UUGAAUAAAAACUUUGGAGAUAAAAAAUAGAGAUUGUGACUUCUUGGCCUUUUGACUAAGAUCAAGUGUAAAGGAUAGAGAUUAAAUAUCUUUUGGCAGUUGAGGCUUUCCACAAUCUAAAUUUACCUUGUCUUCUGUUUCCUUGUGACAUUACCACCUCACCUUAUUCCCCACUGUGUUUCUGCCUGAACCAAGACCAACUGGACCUGUCUGCUCACUAACAAACAUGUUAUUUACUUUCCCUCCUUCUAUUUCUCAACCCUGCAAAUUCUUACUACUCCUCCUUGUUAAUCAAAUCCUAGCAACUUUUUUGAGACUUGGGAUGUUCUACGUUUUGCCGAAAGCCUUCCCCCACCUAAUCUAACUUAUGCUAAUUUUCUCCUUUCUCAGAGCCUCUCCUAGCAUUUAUGACCUCUGGUAUGUAUUUUGACAUGUUUCCUUACUAUUAAACGUUAUUACUGAUCUUAUCAUGGGUGUAUGUCUGGACAAAAAUAAGACCAUUUUACAUUUAUUUUGCAUCCUCUACAGCACCUGGUAGACACUGUGUGUAUGUUAAGCACAUAAUCAGCACCCGUGGACUGAAUUUGCCCACUUGUUUCCUAGUGCCUUUCAAAGACAACCUGGUUUUGCCUUUUCUUUUCCAUUCAGGAGCUAAUUCUAUCCUCACGUGUCUGUCCUACCAAUACAGCCCUCUCUCCCUAAUAGAGGGUCCAGGGCCCCCAUUUAUCCUGUUCUCUUUGCAGCACUUUGUAGCAGAUCAGCUGUGUUUCCACAUUUGUUCUUUGUUUUCUUACAGUGGGCUACUUAAAUAGUCCAUAACUUCUGCUCCAUACAGGCACGGGCUGCAGAACAAGAGGCCUGUUGGAAUUGCCAUAACCAAAGAGAUUGUGUAUAUUGUGGGGGCUGGGGAGUGGGUAGAAACUCACAGAAAGCAGUAUGGUGAAGGGUUUUGGUGUCUGGUAUACACGCAGGCUCUGGGACAGUUUUGGAGAUAGGUCUGGAAAUUGGGUAUAUGUGACGGAGAUGUAUGGCCAAAGGCAAUUUCAUAAACAACUAUAAAGUCAACAAACCCACAAAUUUGCUUUUAGAGCUAAAGUUAAUAUUAUGCAGUUCAGUCUCUCUUUUUUACACACAAGAAAACUAAGGUCCAAAGAGGUACUUGCAAAUAGUAGAUAAUAAAUAUUAGCUGAUUGCAAAUAAUCUAAUCAAGUCAGUCUUUAGACAGAUUCAUUCUUUAUGGUAUUUAAUGUCAGAACGAACUAGUCUUGGUUUUAGUCAGCAAUUCAAGACUAAAUCAUACUUGUCAGCAUGAUAACUAAACAGGACCCAUCAAGGGAAUCUGGCUUUGCUGACACCUUGAUUUCAGACCAGUGAACCUGACUUAGGACAUCUGACCUCCAGAACUAUAAGAAAAUAAAUGUGUGUUGUUUUAAGCCAUCAAGCUUCCUGUAACUUGUUACAGCAGCCCUAGAAAAUAUACAGUGACCUUAGAGAUUCUUCAAGUAAAGGUAAACUUCAGUAAUAUCUUUAUCUCAAUAGCACUGGAAAAUCAGAUAAGCCAUAUUAAUUAUGUUUUUUAAUGUUAUCAGAUGUGGGCCACCAGCCUUAAGCCAGAGGGAGCUUUGUAAGACAGGAACAUAUAAAAUGAUAAAAGCUUCUCUACGUACAGUUUUCCUGACUCUGAUUCUGCGUGGGACAACCAGUGAAAAUUGCAGGUGAAGAGAAGAAAUGCGUAUUUAUUCCUCCACUGGGAAAAAAAAUACCAUCCAAAGCUACAUGACUUGAGAGACAAGGUCUCACUAUGUUGCCCAGGCUGGCCUCGAACUCCCGGGCUUCAGCAGUCCUCCCGCCUCACCCUCCGAUGUAGCUAGGACUACAGGACCGCGACCCGGCGCUGCCUAAGAACUGUUUUUAAACGUGAAAGCCACGGCUAUCAUUUGCUUUUUGCUCUGCUCUUCAUCUUCUGGAUAAACCUCGUAACACACUGCUUGUUUUGGGUGGUAGUCUGCUGCCUACGCCCCGUCAGACAAGUGGCCUGAGUCCCCCGCAACCCCUGCAGGUCCGGCCGCCGGCGCCAAGCCUCAAGGCAUCCAAGCCAGGAACGAUCGCGGUCAGCUCUGCCACGGAACAUGUGCAAGACCCGGCAGCAGGUUCCGGGGGAGGCGAAUUGAUUUCACAACGGUCGAGAAGGAGGACCCCGCCCACUUCGUCAUUUCUCGGAAGCCCAGGGACUCGCCGGAAGAGCGGCUCAAAAGCCGGAAAACUGGCAAAUCCGAGUCUCCCGGCGCAUGCGCGGCGCAAUCGGCUUCGCGUGGUUGCAGUAGAGAGGAUCCCUCCGCCAGCCACUGCAUCCGGCGGCCGGAUCUAACUUACCCGCUAGCGUUUUACCCUUGCGCGGCCGUGGCGUAGGGCGGUCUUUUCCCUUGGUCCUCCGCGGCGCCGCCUCUUGUGACGUAAGCCGCAGAAUCCUCUGUCUUAGUUCGGCUCUAUUGCCGCGAGCUUGACUCUUCCUGGGUCUGAGGAAAAGUAAAAGUAAUUUUGUCAUUUCCUGAAACUUCAAGUUAAACCUUUAAGCUGUUCAUUUCCUAAAAGGGUGAAAACGCGGGCACCCCUCGAGCUAGUUCAUCGCCUUUUAACCUGUUGUUGGAUCUUUCCAGAUCACCACACCACAUCACCCAGCCACUCUGCCCAAUGGGAGGGCAGACAGUGUUCCAGUGUAGGAGGAAGGGGUGUAAGGUGCGGGCAGUUUGUGAGGAGGGCACCAACGAGAGCUACUGUGAGAAAGUCUGCAUGGUCAAAAAGUGGAUUACCAAGAACAAAGCAUCAUAAUGUUGUCCAGUGGACCCCAGGUUACAAUUUGGUUUGACUUUGAAACAAAAAGUUAUCAUGUACACAGAAAAGCACAGAAGCAGAGGAGUGGAAUGAAGUGUGAUAUUAGUGAACGAAAGAGCCAACAUUGAAGUGACCACAGUUCCAUAUGGUCUUGCAAAGCAACCACUGAAUGUUUUGCCUAAAAAGGAAGACAUCAACAUGUAAUUAUCAUUAAGACAUGGUAUCAUAGUUACUUAAUGGUACAUAAAAACUGGAGUGUCUUUUUCAAGCACCUAUUAUGUUAAAGGUUCUCUGCUGGUUAAGGUUAUAGGUUUUGUGCUUUUGCACGACAUGUGUGUCUCACAUCAAUUCCACUCUGUGGAUAAUAUUAUCCCCAAACCAGGGAUGAAGGAUGAAUAACUGUCUCAGGUUGGUAAUCUAGUUUUGAUAGAGUGAGGGAUUGACUCUUCACGUGCCCAGAGCCUGUGCCCCUUUCCCUACCUUGGUAGACGUCUUCUGGAUUUUCCAACCCCUUUGUCUUUCAGGAGCAUCUUUGGGAAGGAUUUGUUCCAAAGGAUCUAUACUCUGGUGCUAUUCUGAAACAAGAUGACAGUUUGUUUUUUUCUUGGUUUCUCUUCUAAAAAUUUAGAUUUUGGGAACUGGAAAUCCUUAUUAGGGCAUUUAAACCAUGGUAUUUAUUUGUCUGCAAUGCACUUUGAAUUCAGCUCACAUUCUCUCACCUUAUCUCACAAUUGUUUCCUAAAGUGGGUAAUGCUUCCUUAAACAUGUAAUCCUUAUUUAUGUCUGAGAAUAAGUCAUCACCACAAACAGGUCUGUGGGUACCUAUGGAAAGUAGGUGAGUUGGAGAUGACCCAGUAAAUGCCCCUUGACAUCACCAGCUAAGGAUUUUCUAGAAAGCUCAGUAUUAGAAAAGUAUUGAACAUUUGUUUUUACCAAACUCCAGGUUCUCAAGAAGUAGCUAGAUAAGCUUCUCAUACAUAAACAUUUAUAUUUCCAAUGCUAUCUGGGAGGGAAAAAGAAUAAAAAUUAAAUUAAAAUGAAAGCCACUUCAAUUUCGGUCCAUGAUUAUAAUUUUAUUCAUACCAACAUUUUUAAAGGUUUAAGCAUGUUUAGGAAAGUGGUUUCUUCUUAGAUCGGGAAGAAAUGGCAGCCCUUUUGGGAAAGGCCGGUCUGUGGUAAACUCACCAGCAACCAGGGUGGAAGUGCCAGAAAUAUUCGCGGGAAGCUGAUGAUUCUGAGAUUCCUAGUGUGAUUCUGAACCCAGGAGAAUUUACUUGCAUUGGAAUUAUUGCAUCAUGGAAUGAAACCAAAAAGUUCAUUAUUUACACUUCACACAUUUACUUUUUUUAAGAUCUGGCUCAAAGGCACUGAGAAUUAUGUUGUAGAUUAGAGGCAUCCAGUUAAUUAAAUCACAAGGACUUUGUAGCAAGUAGUAAAAAUAAUUCUUUCCCCACAAAUUGAGCUGAGGGGGCCAUUCUCUUCUUUCUGAGGCCAAACAUUCAGCAUAACCACUGUUUUACCACGAGCUCUCUGCUGUGAAAGGUUUAAGCACACUGUUGGCAUUCAAAUUUUUAAUAGCUAAUGCAAGGUCACCUAAUACUUUGUCAGUGUUUGUCUGUUACCAAUUGUUCCUAAUUGACUAAAACAGCUAGAGUUAUUCACUGACUCUUAAGUAUGGGGCGGUAAGUUUUAAAAGAAUAUUUAGAGAAUCAUUUACAACUAUACUCAUUCUCAUCCUUUUCGUGCCCAACUUCACAGGAGUUGUCUGUCUGCAAGGUUAGUCCCCUAUCUGUUCCCUGAAUGUAUACAUCAAAAUUAAAUUUACCAUCUGCUUAUCUCUCAAAAUGCUGCUUCUGAAUUUUCUAUUUCAGUGAAUAUCAUCAUUAUCAUCAUCUACCAAGUUUCCCAAGCAAGCACCUAGGGAUCAGCAGAAACUCUUUCCUUUCCAUUCCCAUACUCCAACUCCAUCCAAUCCGCCAGUGUUCUGUCCAUUUAACUAAAUCAGUAUUUUUCCUGCCUGUUCAUUUAUCUCUAUUUCCUUUGGUACUACAUCAGUCCAGGUCCUCACUACCUUAGAAGAACCUCCCAAAUGGUCUCCCUGCUACAAUUUUUGAUAUUCUUAUAAUCCAUUCUCUAUACCACUAUUAAGAUUACCUUUCUAAAUGCAAAUCUGCUUAAAACCUUUUAAUGGUGCUUCAUCAUCUUAUUUGUGAUUUUUUUUUCUUUUUUAUCUUUAUUGCUGCCACACAAAUUAAUGCCUCAUCAUGUUAAGGAAAAAGUUUAGACCCUUGGCAUGGAACCAAGUCCUAAAUCCUGUGGUCCUGCAGGCCUUUUCAGCAUGACUCUGAACCAUUUUCCAUACACCCCUUAUGUUUCAACCCUAGGGAAAAGCUUACGUUUUGCAAAUGGACCAUGUUCCUUCUCCCUCUUUUGCAUUUGUAGCGUGGUUCACCCUACUGACCAUUUGCUCCUUGUUUGUCCACAGCAAUCCUACUAGUUCUUUAAGACUAGCUCAUUUUCUAUCACCUCUGGGAAGCAGUGAGGGAGUCCACUCUGAGUUUAAAGUCACUUACAAUGGUGUCUUCUCUUGUGUUUCCACAGGACCCUGUGCAUACCUUCAUCAAGGCACUUGCUGCGUAGCACUUAUAUUUCUGUUGUACGUAUAUGUCUCUUCCACUAAACUUUAAACUUCUUGAAGAGAAAAACUGUGUCUUUUAUCUUUGUAUCUCCAGGCCAAGCAUGGCAACUGUUGCUUAGCACCUGCUCAGUUAAUUGCUGCAGAAUAAAGGAGUUUUAAUCCCUUCCUAUCACUUCUGGAAACUUUACUCAAGCAAAGUCAUUUUUUUCCUCUUUCUUUCUGUAUUUUUAACUCCUUCAUCUUUCCCUUAAUUCUUACUCAUCUUAAAAAGAGCAAGAAAACACUUGCUCCAUCUUAGCCCCUUCAUCGUAGCCCCAUUUUGUUGAAAGAAUAGUCCAAUUAUUGCUUUAAAGUCCAAACCUCCCAUUGACACUUCAGCCUACUAAAAUUUGAUGUUUACUCCCUCACUCAAAUGGAAUUGUUCUUCCCAAUGACACCAAUUGCUUCCUGAUUGUGGAAGUCAGGCUUUAUCUUAAGUGAUUACUCUUCAGGAUUUCAAAUUGUUGCCCUGUUUUUCCUGAAAAAUCCUUAUUAAUUUGGCUUUUGUGACAUUGUUUCUCCUGGUCUACAUAAUCUCUCAACACUAAUCAGAUACACCAGCUGCCUUUACUUAAAUGCUGGUGUCUCAAGGAACCCUUAUUAAUUCUUUUGUCUUCUUAUUCUCUCUGGGUAAUUUCAUCUAAUUUUGCAUCUUUGGUGACUACCUAUAUAUCCAGUGAUCCUGAAUUUUGACCUCCAGAACUCUAUUUCCAAUGUGUAAUAAAUUCUGUGACUCACAAUACCCUCAAACUUUACUUGUUAAAAUGGAAUUGUUUCCUUUCGCAAACAUGGCCCCUUUUAUAUUUCCUAUCCUAGUAAGUUAGCAGGAGGGUCAAGGUGUUGACCAUUCAUAAUCUUUCUCCAGGUUUCUAUACUAGACUACAUAA
RNAcentral lists this long non-coding RNA (6396 nucleotides) under Homo sapiens (human). RNAcentral's name for it is "HSALNT0315628". The record is from RNAcentral. Lineage: Eukaryota; Metazoa; Chordata; Mammalia; Primates; Hominidae.